This 882-nucleotide long non-coding RNA is filed under the name Ananas comosus (pineapple). RNAcentral's name for it is "long non-coding RNA (ACOM_LNC005880)". The record is from RNAcentral. Lineage: Eukaryota; Viridiplantae; Streptophyta; Magnoliopsida; Poales; Bromeliaceae.
ACUACAUUUGCAGAGUCUGUCUGCCCACGGGCAUCACUCUGUUGUAAACUAUAUUUCUGAGUCUAUAUGCCUUUCGGGCACACUCUUUUUUAUUAUUAUAUAAAGGCAUUCGGCUCUUUCAGCCGACCAGUCACUGUAUAUUUCUUCCAUUCGGCUCUUUCAGUCGACCAGUUAUUGUGUACUUCUUCCAUUCGGCACUUCUGCCGACAUUGAUCUCUGCACAGUUCGUACAUUCGGCUCCUCCAGCCGAACCAAUACUACAGUAAAGGUUUUCGAACUCGGCUGGCUCGAUCCCUUGUCAGCCGAAUCGCUUGAUCUGUCGAAGGGCGCAAACUUCGAGAGUCACUAUCUGCAGCCGCUCCUCACCCCGACGCGCUCCCCGAGGAGGAUCUUUGACCGGGUUAAGGGUCGGGACGAUCGGCAACCAACAGUAUCAAUUGACUCAUUAAAAUUAGGUUAAACAGUUUAUUUAAAAUAUAACUUAAAUAUAUAUGCAUGAUGUGAAUUAAGUUAUUUGAACUAGCACAAAUUUCUAUGCUUUGGCAUCUCGAAUUUUAAAAUAAAUGAUAUAAAGUAUCUAUUUUAGUAUCUUAUUUUAUAAACCACACAGCAGUAAAAUGAUAUAUUUUACUGUUUAUUUUAAUAUUUUAAAAUAAAUAUAUCAUGCUAAAAUACUUUUGUAAAAAAUUUUAGAAGUUCAGGACAAAAUGGACAUUUCGAUCAUAUUUAUAAUAAUCUAAAUAUUUUAUCAUUUUAUAAAGAGAUGAAUAGUAAGGGUAAGGGUAUAUUUGAAAAAUAAUAAGUAUUUGUAGGGAUAAUUGUGAUAUAAUCAAAUUUAUAGGGGCAUCUAUAAUAUUUUUGAAGUUUAGAGGGGCACAAAUA